This 249-nucleotide microRNA precursor is filed under the name Paramuricea clavata. Lineage: Eukaryota; Metazoa; Cnidaria; Anthozoa; Malacalcyonacea; Plexauridae. The record is from RNAcentral.
GACAUCGAUAUUCGACGUCAUAAACACGAUCAACUUUGGUGUUUAUCACGUUGAUAUUCGACGUCAUAAACACGAUCAACUUUGGUGUUUAUGACGUUGAUAUUCGACGUCAUAAACACGAUCAAAUUUGGAAUUUAUGACGUCGAUAUUCGGCGUCAUAAACACGAUCAACUUUGGUGUUAAUGACGUCGAUAUUCGACGUCAUAAACACGAUCAACUUUGGUGUUUAUGACGUCGAUAUUCGACGUC